Long non-coding RNA from Cotesia glomerata, 962 nucleotides. RefSeq lists it as uncharacterized. NCBI's taxonomy places the organism in Eukaryota, Metazoa, Arthropoda, Insecta, Hymenoptera, Braconidae. The transcript has 3 exons. The record is from RefSeq and is a predicted model, not a curated record.
UUUAAAUCAAGUAAAAUGAACUAAAAUGGAACAAAGAAGAAGGGUAGAAACAAUUGGCGCCAGUUAUCCAGUAGUGUCCAUGUCGAGAUCCAACUGCUGAGAGAAUCACGUCUGGAUAAAUAUUCUUAUACAGCAAAUACUAGCUCCCACGAACUUCUCUUCAACCCGGACACUGCAUAUAGAGUCCUAAGGAACUCAGAUGUCUGAUGGUCUCGGUCUCUUAUCAAAACACGGAAAUAAUGACCCCCGGCUAUCUUAACUCACCAGGCAACAGGCAACAUGUCUGCUAAUAAGUCCUUUAUUUUCAGGCAACUUUUACCCUCAGCUUUUAACAAAUAACCGGCCAUUGUCUUCCUAAUACUACAGUUGUCAGUUCUCGUAACAAAAGCAGCCAAACAUCAAACAACAGAAAGUACCCACUGACUUCGGUCAUAUCAACUUUGCACUGCAUGUUUGAAUAAUAUGGCUCGCUGGUAUUAUCUGUUAUGUACACAGUUGGACAGUCGCGUUCGCUUAGUGAAACAAUUAGGUGAUUUUAUCUUGGUUCACCACCUGCAGGCUGUCUCCCUGUCCCGAAGCUGGUGUUGCUUCUAUUCACCAUGAGUACGAGUUCUGCGAACCCCCAGCCGAGCCGGAAACCCACAAUAAGAAGGGGGAGACGAAAGGAGAAAGAAAUACUUCCGCUGGCGCUCAUUAACGCCUGCCACGGAUUUGUAUCCCGUGACUCUGUUAACAUCGAACAUUUUUCAUGUCCAAUUUCCGACACAGACCGAAGACGGAAGACCUCUAAUUUUCCUCAGCAAUCGUUUAAUUUUCCUUAAAAUUAUUCCCCCGACAAUGAAGAGGACGAACCGGAUGCGCUGCAUAUCAACUCUAUCUGAUCUUCCAGGAGCAUUUAGAAGGGAGGAGAUCCUCAUCUUCUACAAAAAAAGAUUAGAGCCAACUACGGACUAUUAGUUCCC